UGGAAUCAUGCCUCAGCUUCAACACCUUCUGUGUGUUGUGUUCACUCUUCAGAUGAUGACACAAACAGAGUAAAGCCAAUUAGUAUCGAUUCAGCGGCUGUUUUUAACGAUAUUCUCACCGCCGCAGGAACCAAAAUCUACGGAUGAUCCUAACGCCAACGCCACGUGUCAGAGCUCUUCCUCUCCUUCUGCUCAGUAACUGCAUGGACAUCACUGUGCCAACCUUGAAUGGGAAUAGUACUCUCAAGAAAGGGACUCAAGCAGAAGAGCUGUUAAGUUUUUCACUGCCUUGUGAUCUAAGCAUGAGAGGGAGCAAUGAACAAUGGGCAGAAGCUUUUCUGGCUCGCAUGCAAGCAAAGUGGGAAAGGUGUGCAAGUGCUUGGAAGUCGUUAAAGAUGGAGGUUAUUGAGUAUCAUCCUCAAGCUAUCGUGUUAUAAAUGUCCCCCUCUUCUAGGCUCUACCUGUCAAAAUAGACUUGAAUCCCACCAAGUACAGGGUGUGUACUUAAAAAAAAAAAGAAUGUAUGUAAAUGAAUUCAAAUAAAAGGAAACAUUUAUCAGAAAAUAUAUUCCUUAGCUGGAUAUCAUACCUCAUUGCAACUUGCUUGCCACAUGUAUUAUAUAAUAAAAUUGGGUAGUUACAUGGAGUUCCGAACCAAAUGAACUUUAUGUAUUGUAUAUCUUUCAAGAAGACGUACUAAUCUAUUAUAUUGCCAAAUUCUACUCUGUAAGAAAUAAAUUGAUCUCCUCACGCACACGCAUGAUGUUAUUUGACACUACUUUUGAAACGUGUAGACAAUAUCCACGAAAUAGAAAUGUGAUUUAUGUAGAGCUUUAGGUAUUGUAAAUAGAAAUGGCAUGUUCAAAGUUCCUUAUAAGUGAUGAAUACGACCCAUGAAUCAUUCUUGUUCGUAUUACUGAUUUUUUGAACUGCGUAAAGACGUAAAGUCAAUCGGUUGGGCUUUCGCUCCUCUAUUUUCUUCUUCAAAUGAUUGGUUGCAAAAACAGUUUGCUGCAAACUUAAAUUGAACAGUUAGACAGAAGACAAUUUCAGCUGUUUAAGUUGCAACUAUGGGCCGAGCUUAUGAUUCAAAUUUUCAUUCAAUCGCUAAUCUCAAAAUUUGAAAGAAAGCGUUAUUUGGCAAAACCUGAAAACAGUGCAUAGGAGAAAAAA
Molecule: long non-coding RNA, 1173 nt
Organism: Glycine soja
Lineage: Eukaryota; Viridiplantae; Streptophyta; Magnoliopsida; Fabales; Fabaceae
Exons: 3
Source: RefSeq, a predicted model, not a curated record